GGCGGCAUAGCCAAGCGGUAAGGCCAAGGUCUGCAAAACCUUUAUCACCGGUUCGAUUCCGGUUGCCGCCUCCA
Molecule: transfer RNA, 74 nt
Filed under: Domibacillus aminovorans
Lineage: Bacteria; Bacillati; Bacillota; Bacilli; Caryophanales; Bacillaceae
Also listed under: 2 other names
Description: tRNA-Cys
Rfam family: tRNA
About the family: Transfer RNA (tRNA) molecules are approximately 80 nucleotides in length.
Source: RNAcentral